UGGUUUUUAAUUAAAGGCAAGCAUGAGAAAGUUCUCUUUCAUGUUAAGAAUGUUGGGAAUAAAUUGUCAGAAUUGUGGGUAAAGAAAAAUGGAUCAUUAUCCAUUGAAAAUAUUUCUUUCAGGGUGAAACAUCUAUAGGAACUUGGAUAGGCCAGGAAUGGACUCUGGGCACAUCUAUCUUUACUGAAUUCCAGCAGAAGCCACUUUCUUGACAGUCAGAGUCUCUUUGUGAUUUUUGUGGUGUACCACUUCCAGGUUAGCCAGUAGCACUGUUUAGGAAAAAUCUCUUACUAGAAGUUGAUUUGACAUCUUGUUUCAAAGUGGCAUUUUUAGAUUAUGAGUAGAAAAUGAGGCCAGAGAUUAAAACCUGGAGAAUUACAAGGCAACAAUUUAACGAAUGAGUAAAAAGCACCUAUCGAGUACUGCCUCUUUGUCCAUCCAUUAAUACAGUUGCUUGGAGUUAGCCAGACUGUGAUGUCAAGAGCACAGUCCUCCAGAAUACUUCCCAAGACUUCUGACCCCAACCACAAGGAAUUAGAAGGAAGAGUCCAACCCAAGACCAAUACUUCUGACAUCAACUGCAAGUCUUGGGGCUUCCUAAACCCACCCUCAAUUUUAACAAUUCACUACAAGACUGUUAGUACUCACUGAAUGCUCUUACACCCAUUGAUAUGAUUUAUUAUGAGGAAAAGACAUAAAUUAGAUCGAGCCAAAGGAACAGUAUCUGAGAGGGUUCCAAGUGCAAAGUUUCCAUUGUCCUCUGGAAGUGUUACCUUUCUGGAAUGAAUGUGUGACAAUACCCAUGGAGUACUGUCAACCUGGGACGCUUACUCCGGAGUUCAAAGUUUUUAUUGGGGCUUCAUUAGGUAGGCAUGAUUGAUUGAUUAAUUGCCCAAGUGGCUGAACUCAAUCUCUAGGAGUCAACUGAUAGCAAAUGACUGAAAGCCCCCAUUGUAAAUCAUGUUUGGUCUUUCUUGUAUGGUUAUUCCUAGGACUAUCAGGAGGAGCAUUUCCCAACAUGAGUCACUUUUUAGCCUAAACUAGCAAGUGUUGCCCAAGGGCCACCAUGAAUAACAAAGACACUCCUAUCACUGUAGAAAUGCCAUGGAUUUAUAGGUUACUUCUGAGGAGCCUGGACAAAAUUUUGCAUGACCAAAUUUCUUCAUACACACCAAUGUAAAAAUCACUGCUUUUCAUGUCAUCUACAAAUUUUACAGGUAUAUUUGCUAAAUUUUUGUCAAAAUAUUGAAAAAUAUUGAGUAGGAAAGGGGUGUAAGAAUCACAGUGAAUUGAAAGUAAUCCAUGACCAAUUGCAUUAAAGUAUACAUUUUGCUUAAGAAACAAGCAAAUAAGGCAACUCAGAAUGGGGAAGAGUAAAAAUUAAAAUCAAAUGAUUGCCUUACUCAUUAUGCUAAAGUAAGGACUAUAGUCCUUAGCGUCAGCCAUAUACAUUAAUAAAUAUGUUCUUUGCACUGA
Choloepus didactylus (southern two-toed sloth) is the source of this 1476-nucleotide long non-coding RNA. RefSeq lists it as uncharacterized. The transcript is spliced from 2 exons. The record is from RefSeq and is a predicted model, not a curated record. Lineage: Eukaryota; Metazoa; Chordata; Mammalia; Pilosa; Megalonychidae.